CUACAAAUGGCAAGCUCAUAAGUGCUUUCCUGUGGGGAGAAAUCCUGAAGGGGUCUCUUGCUCCAGGAGCAGCGUGGAGGAGACUUUGAAGCAGGAAUACCACCCCACCCUCACCCACUCACCCAUGUCCGUUUAUUUUGGACAUGCUACAGUAAAUCCUCCCCAAGACAUGCGCUGCUCGUGUUUCAUGACACAAAAGCAAGUGACGCCUUGGAACCAGAUCAAAGAGGGCUCCAAGUGCAUGCUGCACAGAGCAGGCAGUGACCCUGGAAGGUUCGAUGUCCCUGGGAACAUUCCCACUUUAAGUUGGACAGACCUUGAAGCACAUCUGCGCCAGCAUUUGCACGUUCAUGUCUCCCUUACAUGCCUUUCCUCCUGUUUGUUUGAGCUUAACAGAAGGAAUGGCAGAAGUUUGCCCAAAUAAGGUACAUGGGCAGACACCUGAGGCUUUCAACACCUGUUUUAACAAAGAAGAAGAACCCAUCAAGUCAAUUUUUCUGAUCCAGCAAACAGCAUAGGUCUGGGAGUCAAAAAGCCUGGUAGCACAUAGCCUCUCAACUACUUAUUACCUUCCCUGACACAUUUGUCCAUCCUGGAUGUCCAUUGAUUCAUCAUAAAGGAUUGUCGAAAGAAUUAAAUGAGCCAGCGUAAAAGCAAUCAUUCUCUUUAUGAUCGCUCCUUCAAGUCAGACUCCAAGCCACUCGUAAAAGAAAGAAAAAAGCCUGGAAGGAGAGGCCUGCAGCAAAGUGAGGUGUCUCCUUUUAUGAGCAGUGCCCUGGGAUAGCUCCAAACCCAAAAGCUAAGUGCCCUGAAGACAGGUGAGACGUGGUGAAUGCAGCAAUAAGGGGAACUUUCUGCAAAAUCCAUUAAGGGUGUGUUAGGGGGAAUGGAUUUUUCUGUAGCUGAGCCUGGAAUGGAAUAAAUGGAAGCACCUCACCUAUCUGGCUCUCACUUCUCCUUCUCUCUCUCUUUCUCUUGCUCUCACUUCUCCCUCUCUCUCUCUCUCUCUUUCUCUCUGUCUCUCUCUCUCUAUAUAUAUACACACACACAGCUCAGGUUGCCCCAUUUUUCUCCCCACCCAGACUCUAUUCUACACCUCAAGGGCCCAUGUCUUCAUGCCUAUGGACACCCCAGCCCUUUUGUCCAAGUUCAUUCCCAAACCCCUCACCCUCUCAACUGUCAACCACCAUCAGGGCAACCCUUGAGCCUGGGGAUGUGCACUCACUCCCA
This 1230-nucleotide long non-coding RNA is filed under the name Homo sapiens (human). RNAcentral describes it as "HSALNT0150984". Lineage: Eukaryota; Metazoa; Chordata; Mammalia; Primates; Hominidae. The record is from RNAcentral.